Molecule: ribosomal RNA, 439 nt
Filed under: uncultured bacterium
Lineage: Bacteria
Description: partial 16S ribosomal RNA
Rfam family: Bacterial small subunit ribosomal RNA
Source: RNAcentral
CUACGGGUUGCUGCAGUGGGGAAUAUUGCACAAUGGAGGAAACUCUGAUGCAGCAACGCCGCGUGGAGGAUGACACUUUUCGGAGCGUAAACUCCUUUUAUAUAGGAAGAAGAUGACGGUACUAUAUGAAUAAGCGCCGGCUAACUCCGUGCCAGCAGCCACGGUAAUACGGAGGGCGCAAGCGUUACUCGGAAUCACUGGGCGUAAAGAGCGUGUAGGCGGAUUAAAAAGUCAGAAGUGAAAUCUUAUAGCUUAACUAUAGAACUGCUUCUGAAACUCUUAAUCUAGAAUAUGGGAGAGGUAGAUGGAAUUUCUGGUGUAGGGGUAAAAUCCGUAGAGAUCAGAAGGAAUACCGAUUGCGAAGGCGAUCUACUAGAACAUUAUUGACGCUGAGACGCGAAAGCGUGGGGAGCAAACAGGAUUAGAUACCCUUGUAGUC